This 301-nucleotide ribosomal RNA is filed under the name uncultured bacterium. RNAcentral describes it as "partial 16S ribosomal RNA". It matches the Rfam family "Bacterial small subunit ribosomal RNA", at positions 509 to 807 of the family's 1533-position model. The record is from RNAcentral.
CAGCAGCCGCGGGAACACGUAGGGUGCAAGCGUUAAUCGGAAUUACUGGGCGUAAAGCGUGCGCAGGCGGUUUGUUAAGACAGAUGUGAAAUCCCCGGGCUUAACCUGGGAACUGCAUUUGUGACUGGCAAGCUAGAGUAUGGCAGAGGGGGGUGGAAUUCCGCGUGUAGCAGUGAAAUGCGUAGAUAUGCGGAGGAACACCGAUGGCGAAGGCAGCCCCCUGGGCCAAUACUGACGCUUAUGCACGAAAGCGUGGGGAGCAAACAGGAUUAGAGACCCCCGUAGUCCCUGUCUCUUAUAC